RNAcentral lists this ribosomal RNA (429 nucleotides) under Gemmatimonadota bacterium. RNAcentral's name for it is "Gemmatimonadetes bacterium partial 16S ribosomal RNA". It matches the Rfam family "Bacterial small subunit ribosomal RNA", at positions 355 to 776 of the family's 1533-position model. Lineage: Bacteria; Pseudomonadati; Gemmatimonadota. The record is from RNAcentral.
UAGGGAAUCUUCGGCAAUGGACGAAAGUCUGACCGAGCAACGCCGCGUGAGUGAAGAAGGUUUUCGGAUCGUAAAACUCUGUUGUUAGAGAAGAACAAGGACGUUAGUAACUGAACGUCCCCUGACGGUAUCUAACCAGAAAGCCACGGCUAACUACGUGCCAGCAGCCGCGGUAAUACGUAGGUGGCAAGCGUUGUCCGGAUUUAUUGGGCGUAAAGCGAGCGCAGGCGGUUUCUUAAGUCGGAUGUGAAAGCCCCCGGCUCAACCGGGGAGGGUCAUUGGAAACUGGGAGACUUGAGUGCAGAAGAGGAGGGUGGAAUUCCAUGUGUAGCGGUGAAAUGCGUAGAUAUAUGGAGGAAAACCAGUGGCGAAGGCGGCUCUCUGGUCUGUAACUGACGCUGAGGCUCGAAAGCGUGGGGAGCAAACAGG